CAGCCGCCGCGGUAAUACGUAGGUGGCAAGCGUUGUCCGGGAUUAUUGGGCGUAAAGGGCUCGCAGGCGGUUUCUUAAGUCUGAUGUGAAAGCCCCCGGCUCAACCGGGGAGGGUCGUUGGAAACUGGGAACCUUGAGUGCGGAAGAGGAGAGUGGAAUUCCACGUGUAGCAGUGAAAUGCGUAGAGAUGUGGAGGAACACCAGUGGCGAAGGCGACUCUCUGGUCUGUAACUGACGCUGAGGAGCGAAAGCGUGGGGAGCGAACAGGAUUAGAUACCCCCGUAGUCCCUGUCUCUUAUAA
RNAcentral lists this ribosomal RNA (301 nucleotides) under uncultured bacterium. RNAcentral's name for it is "partial 16S ribosomal RNA". It matches the Rfam family "Bacterial small subunit ribosomal RNA", at positions 509 to 809 of the family's 1533-position model. The record is from RNAcentral.